CGCGCGCCCUCGCCGGGCGCCGGGACCGGAAAAUCACCGCGAAGGGAGGGACGAGGAAAGGCGGCGGGUGGCUUCAGGACAAGCUGUGAGAUAUCGGUGGGCGAGGAUGUGAUGCCUGAAGAUGUGGCAUCUACCUUGAAACAGUCAAGGACCUGAGGAUGAAGCCAGCAUCUGAGGAAGACAGACAGAAAGGAUCUGGAUACAUCAUGAGCCUGAAAAGUAUCUUGCAUACACAACUGGCAGCACAGAAUCCUGACAAACCUCUCAUCAGAAAUCAACCACAGACUCUUUAUGCUCUUACCAAAAUGCUGGCUUUGAGAACUAAUUAUGAAUGAAAAUUACUGAUGUGAUUUUCAGUCUAGGGAAGAAUAUCAAGUUAAACUUUAUGAAGUCCAAGACAAUGGGAAAAGAAGAGGUGUUCCUGUCCAGGCCCUCUUCCAGUUAGAAGGUGAUGGUUUCCAGAAGUCUGCACCUGUAUUUCAAUUACCUAUAAUGGAGUUUAUAGGACUAAACUAUAUUCACUA
RNAcentral lists this long non-coding RNA (524 nucleotides) under Homo sapiens (human). Its description in RNAcentral is "non-protein coding ST3GAL6-AS1:4". The record is from RNAcentral. Lineage: Eukaryota; Metazoa; Chordata; Mammalia; Primates; Hominidae.